Gossypium raimondii (Peruvian cotton) is the source of this 1375-nucleotide RNA transcript. RefSeq lists it as uncharacterized. The record is from RefSeq and is a predicted model, not a curated record. Lineage: Eukaryota; Viridiplantae; Streptophyta; Magnoliopsida; Malvales; Malvaceae. The transcript has 2 exons.
CUUUAUCUGCUCGGCGGCCUCGUCUCAUGUCCACACAAUUCAUUCCUCUUUCUUCUUAUCUUUCAUAUCUUAUAUAUUUUAAUACCGUACUACUAAUCUUUCAUAUUUCACAUUCUGUCAGUCUAAUAUUCUACGCAUCAACAAUCCAUGCAAUCGCAUCCUAUAGCUUAAUACUUCUCUUCUUCUUUUUUUCUUUCUAUAAUCUUUUGUCAACUGAGAGAAUGAUUUUCAGAUGCUGUAGAUUUUUCUCCUUUAUUUGUUUCAUUAUGAAAAAAAGAAAACUAUUUUCUCAAAGUUGAUUUGCUAUGAAACUACUGAUUGUUUUUUUUAGUUUGCAAAUGGUAAGAGUGAUGUGCAGAUCGGCUCCAUAUCAGAGUCAACAGCAGGUGCCAGUCCAUGGCCGAUCUGACUGCCGCUUGGAGCCAAUAUUUAGUUAAAGGGGUAAAGACCCGUGAAACUCACAGUUGUUUCAUGACACAAUAACCCCUUCACAUUUGUUUAUUGCCUUUUAAAUUCAUGGUCUAGCAUUUGAUGGUGUUGUUGAAGUGGGGCAUAGAGUCAGACACGGGUGUUUGUUUGUUUACAAUAGCAAUCCACCUUUUGCAUUGUGCCUAAACCAAAGCUACUUACACGAUUGAAGGAGCCUUUGCCUUCUCCAUGCUUUCCUUCAAAUUUAAAGCAGCUAAAUUUUUAUUUUAUAUUUUAAUGAUUUUAACCAUGUAUUACUUCUGUUGUGAAAAAUAAUUUGAGCCUAAUGCUGCCAUGCAUGGUGGAUUGGUUGAUGGACAUUGCAAGGAAAGUAUUUGGAAUAUCAUCGUUUAUAAUAUUGUUAUCUACAGCUUUAGAAAUCACUCCUCCCUUGUUUAAUGUACAGAUACACACAUAUAAAAGGAACGGAUGAUUUCUAAAGCUUUAGAUUGCUUUAUCAUGACGAGGAAGCAAGGCACCGAGUUCAAUAUUGUCAUAUUGCAAGGAUGUUGUUGGCAAUAUUGUUAUCUACGGCUUCAGAAACCAUCCCUUUCUUGCUUAAUUUAUGGAAUCUGUAAUAUACAGAUUGACACACCUAGUAAUGAAGGGAUGAUUUCUGAAACUUUAGUAACUUUAUCAAGAAUGUUGUUGCAAGGCAGGUGUGGUCGUGGGUGAGAAAUCAUCAUCCCCUUUUGAUUUGGUUUAGCAUUGUUGUGUUCGCUAAUUGAAGAUUGCAGACUCAUUUUCUCCUUAGCUUAUUCGUGAAAUUUUGGCUUAUAUCAUGUAAUACAAAUCACAAAGUGUAUCUUGAUGUGUUUUUACCAAUUGUAUACAUUUAAUGUAGGAUUUUGUAAGCAUUUAAAUUUGGUUUCAAUAUUGAAUUUGGUAUUUAAUUUUUUCUUCUCAA